AAAAAAGGAAAAAAAGGAAAAAAAAGAAAAAAGGAAAAAAAGGAAAAAAAAAAAAAAAAAAAAAAAAAAAAAAAAAAAAAAAAAAAAAAAAAAAAAAAAAAAAAAAAAAAAAAAAAAAAAAAAAAAAAAAAAAAAAAAAAAAAAAAAAAGAAAAAAAAAAAAAAAAAAAAAAAAAAAAAAAAAAAAAAAAAAAAAAAGAAAAAAAAAAGAAA
Molecule: long non-coding RNA, 212 nt
Filed under: Gallus gallus (chicken)
Lineage: Eukaryota; Metazoa; Chordata; Aves; Galliformes; Phasianidae
Source: RNAcentral